UAGCUUGAAGUCAGACAAGUGA
RNAcentral lists this ribosomal RNA (22 nucleotides) under Symbiodinium sp. C3bb. RNAcentral describes it as "partial 28S ribosomal RNA". The record is from RNAcentral. Lineage: Eukaryota; Dinophyceae; Suessiales; Symbiodiniaceae.